AGAGUUUGAUCCUGGCUCAGGACGAACGCUGGCGGCGUGCCUAAUACAUGCAAGUCGAGCGGUUCCUUCGGGGAUAGCGGCGGACGGGUGAGUAACACGUAGGCAACCUGCCUGCAAGACUGGGAUAACUACCGGAAACGGUAGCUAAUACCGGAUACGCAAGAGAGUCGCAUGACUUUCUUGGGAAAGACGGAGCAAUC
RNAcentral lists this ribosomal RNA (200 nucleotides) under uncultured bacterium. RNAcentral describes it as "partial 16S ribosomal RNA". It matches the Rfam family "Bacterial small subunit ribosomal RNA", at positions 8 to 215 of the family's 1533-position model. The record is from RNAcentral.